Long non-coding RNA from Syngnathus typhle (broad-nosed pipefish), 775 nucleotides. RefSeq lists it as uncharacterized. The record is from RefSeq and is a predicted model, not a curated record. The transcript has 2 exons. Lineage: Eukaryota; Metazoa; Chordata; Actinopteri; Syngnathiformes; Syngnathidae.
UCUAAGAAGCAUAUAGUAAUUCAUUUUUUUCAGCGAAUAAAAGAAAUGCUCACUGCACUGCACCUAUAUCAAGAAGCAUCCACUUCCUUCUGUGCCCCGACAACAACUGUUUCUUUUUUUAUUUUUCUUAAACACAUUCUAUAUUGAAAGGGUCAACACACGACACAGGAACGCUUGAUUUAAAAUUGCAAUCUCCACAGCAUCAAUGCAUCUAAAUGAGACCUUGAGGUCUUUGUUUUAUGCAUCUAUCUAGUCAGACAUCAAGACAAAUAUGAACGUUGUGCAUCAAAAGUGACAGCAGCAGCAAGAGCCCAGAUUUUGUGAAGCCAUCCUACAGACACUCAGCCUGUGCAGCCCCAAGACUCCUUUGGGUUGUUGUCAGCUUCAACAAGUUAUUCCAAAAAGACAUCAAGACAGCGGCAGAAAUCAGCGAAUAAUGGCAAAACAAUGAGGAGGAGACGAAAGAGCAGCAAGUCAGCAGGGCAUGGACAGCGUCCUCCUGUACAUCCUUUUUAUUAUCCAAAAAACACAAGUAUGUAUCAAGCACGUUGUGUGAAAUCAUGGUAACAUGUAAAAAAUAUCUCAAGUCCAAACACGUACAACAAAAAUGCUACCAAACUAAAAAUCUGCCCACGCAACAGUCCUCACAUCUACUUUGUGUAGGUCAUCAUCAUGUAUGUUUGGGUCUCCAAACACAGCAACAUCAUCCUUGACAAAAAAAAAUAUACAUGUCAUCAAUCGAUCGAACAUGUCUGGCAUGAAAAGAGAAAGAAAG